CACACAUCUGUUCCAGGAAGGAAAAUCCACUUACGUUCGAUCAUACAAUGUAGGUAGUUAGCCGAUGUACCUCGGAAGAUGUUUCCCGCAGUCGGAGACGAAACGUCAGGGGAGAGUUUUAUACAUCCACUACGGCCUAUCAGCCCGGAAGUUGAGGAAUUUUAGGAGGAUUUGGAAGAACAGAGGGUUGCAGGCAUGGAUGCAAACGAAGGUACAGCAAACACUUGCGAAGAAGUUGGUAGUCAAGAUGUCGAUCAUCAAACAACCCAAGGCAACAAGCAACCACCCACACCAAACAAAUGCACGAAGGUAUUUGCUUCACCUAGAAAAAAAUCAGAGAAAAAAGGCCGAAGAUCCUUGUAUAAGAGAGGCAUAUAAUGCACCACAAAUUGCUUUAUCCAAAACUACAGACAAGUUUGACGGCUAAGGAGAGUACAAAGUGAACGUUCUGUGGUCCAUGGAUAAAAGAGCACAUGCUUUUGUUAAAAAAGAAUUUUCUGACACAAUUUUGAGAGCAGAAAGCAGCUGUUUCGAACAUUCUAGACCUAGUUCAACCAACAGUGACCACAGCUGCUAGUCACAUUUAGCGAUUUCUUCAACUCAACAUGUUCAUGCCCAUGAACAGAUGCAAAGCAACUUCCAACAGACAUCUACCUCUACUUCGACUUCUGACAACACCGAACAAGGCUCUCCACAUUUUCUGGACCUACCUGAUUUAUAAUAAUUAAAAUCAAUCAUCUCUGCAGUUAACUGUUUCUCAUUCUUUAAAUCUAAAUGUUUUAUUUCUUUUGCUUAUUAACUGAUGAAUAAAAGUGCAUUAAUAUCAAAA
Long non-coding RNA from Schistocerca serialis cubense, 829 nucleotides. RefSeq lists it as uncharacterized. The transcript is spliced from 2 exons. The record is from RefSeq and is a predicted model, not a curated record. NCBI's taxonomy places the organism in Eukaryota, Metazoa, Arthropoda, Insecta, Orthoptera, Acrididae.